Salvelinus sp. IW2-2015 is the source of this 2540-nucleotide long non-coding RNA. RefSeq lists it as uncharacterized. The record is from RefSeq and is a predicted model, not a curated record. Lineage: Eukaryota; Metazoa; Chordata; Actinopteri; Salmoniformes; Salmonidae.
ACAUUUAUUACCGCUACAUACUGCUGUAAUGAUAUGCUAUGCGGUUCAUAAGGAUAGUGUAACUAAAAAAUGACCAUAAUUAGUUAAAGCAAAGAAUUUGUAUCCACUCUCGCAUAUUUCCAGUCAGCAGGGAGAUGCUGCCCAAUUUUAUCCAUGGUUGGAUUUUUUCAUAUUCAAGCCGAAUUGGUAGAACACCUUUGCGCUUCCUUUCCUAUGGUUUUGCUAUAGUUGACCUCUUCCUGACCGUGGCCAAAGAGUUUAGAUUUACUCAUUCACCGCUCUAAUAUAUGCCAAUUAAACUAUUUUCUAAGGUAGUGAUACCCACUUCCCUGGAGAGUAGUUAUGGUAUGUGCCUUUUAAUUGGUAAUGGUUUUAAUACCUUGUAUUAGAACCAAUACUGGAACAUCUGCCAAUUUACUACUGGAGAAUAUGUGUUCCUUUAUUCCAUCACACAGUGCAGCCAGUCGGGAUGAUAGGGUCCAUCGUGUGUCCAUAAUAUAAAUCUCUCGUCAAUACACACACUCAGGAAACAAAAACAAACACACAAAACAAACAGUAUUUGGUUAGGAACGUCUACUUUUCUUAUAAUUUGAAAAGAGUAUUUCUCCUCCAUCAAAAUGUUUUUUGCUCUAUGUAAUUAUAAAUCUUGUACCCACAUGGUAGUUCCUCUUAUGCACAUUUCCGUGUAGGGUUUACAUUUAUAGCUGGUUUGCCAAUCAUAACCAACUGUUUUACUAGUACACUGAUUAAUACAUUUGAUUUUACAAUGUUUCUAAAUAUUUUUUCACACGUUCUUUUUCUUUACAUUUUUUAAAUAUUUUUUUACCUGCAGGAAUAUGUUUUAUAUCUCAGGAUUGUGCCCUGGAAUCACAUAACUCGUAACCGUGUCAUAUCAUCCCAUGACUGCUUUUCUGCUUCAACAGAGAAAUACAACCCCUGUCUCUAACCAGGAUACUUCUGCUUCAACAGAGAAACACAUCCCCUGUCUCUAACCAGGAUACUUCUGCUUCAACAGAGAAAUACAACCCCUGUCUCUAACCAGGAUACUUCUGCUUCAACAGAGAAAUACAACCCCUGUCUCUAACCAGGAUACUUCUGCUUAAAAGAAAAGAUCCCAAUCGGAGAUGUCCCCUGCCCUAGAAUUACUCCUAGGAUUUCCCCUAUUCAGAAAUAACUCUGCUACAACAAAGUUUCUAACUAGGGGUGUCUUUGCUUCAACAAAGACAAUGUGCACAACCUGUUCUUAGAACAGGAUUUUCUAUGAUGUUUAAAAAAAAAAUCAGUCCCACCCUGAGUUUAUCUUAUGUGUCCGGAAUGACGUAUCCACUCACUGACACUCCCGGCAGGUCUGAGGUGGGUCCCCCUCUGCUCCAUUUUAGUCGGAGUGUUUGGGACCCUGAGCCAUGUCUAACGGAGCCCCUGCGCGCAGUUUAACCUCCGUCUCCUGGGAGAAAUCAGCAAGCAGAGUUAGCAUCCCACAGCUGUCACCAAUUUGUCAUGGAAUAUCUAAUCAAAGGGAAGAGAGACUGCAGAUUCUUUCAAACAACACUUUAUCAUAUGAUUUGCAAAAAUGGAGAAUCAACUACCCACUCAACAGUGCAUAGUUGAAAAGCUCCACGAACAGUGCCGGUUCAAUGCUUUUAUAGAGAAAAUACAUACAACCCCUGUUCUGUAUAUGUGGCAGUCAGCAGAUAGUGUGUAAAAGGUCAUUAGUUGUCUGUGUAAACUCAAGAUGGCACAAGGUUGACAGCCUGAGGUCUCAACCUUCUAACUGCAUUCACAACAACAAACACUAUAUUGUACUCCUUUCUAUAAGGCUCCAUACAUGUGACUUUCUGUUGAUAGUAAACCCACAGGAUUUCACAUGCUGUGGUUACACCCAAACAUCUCUUAGCUGUAAGCCCAGUCUUACGACUAAGUCACACCAAGACAAGUUUGUAUCAGGUUAUAAAAAACACUCACAUAUAACAAGAGACUAUUCUUUAAGCAGUAAAACACGGGAUAAUAUGACUAAUUAUGUAGUUUUCCGCGACAGUACUUUCAAAUCACUGAAACUCCACCUGAUGUGGUGGAAGUUGUCGAACCAGAUCAGAACACCUUCGAGAACCACCUUCAGGCACGGACUGAGGAGGUGGAGGUUUUUGACCAGUCAAGGUGAGACUGAACAUGGACAAGGCGCAGGAGAAACAGAAGGAGAGCUACCGGAGCAGAAUCAAGAAGGGGACCAAGUGCUACAACAUUCGGGCAAAUUACUUGGUUUGGAAGAAGGACGAAAGGAAGGCGAGACUUGGGAAACCUCGCUGCUCUUUCACCUCCUAGCUGAGGUCACCAUCUGUUAAAGGUUACCUCAGUGGACGCAACUGAAAACACUGACACCCUACACUUCAGUGAAGCCCAAAGAGCGAGGGGUUCUGCCCAUCACCCAGAUGUGGAUCCACCUGAUGUCCUCCAUUACCAAACACCCUCCAACUUUCCAUUACAUCAGCUACUGUUAUUGUCAUGUUGUCAUUAUCUGCUAAUAAAGUUUACUGGGCUCAUAA